UGAAAAGCUAAGAGUGCUGAUCUCAUCACAGACAUAGCCAGCUCUUCAGUUCAGACCACCUGGAAACCCUCCCCAUGUCUUUUCAGAACAAUGUCCUAAGAACCAUAGGGGAAGUGGCCAUAAAAACCAUCUUUCCUUUGCAGACUGGGGUGGGGACUCUGGCCAAUGCCAUUCUGUUCUUCCAUAAUAUCUUUCCCAUCUUGACUGAGCAUCAAAUGAGGCCCACACACAAGAUUCUCACCCACAUGGCCGUGGCAAACUCCUUGGUUCUUCUUUCCACUGGAAUCCCCCACACAAUGGUGUCUUUUGUCCUAUGGAAACCCUUGUCCAGUCUUGAGUGUAAACUCGUGUUUACAGGUCUUAAAGUCCUGACCUGGUGAUCCGCCCGCGUGGACCUCCCAAAGUGCUGGAAUUACAGGCGUGAGCCACCACUCCUGGCCUAUGCCAGCAUUCUUUAAAGUU
RNAcentral lists this long non-coding RNA (462 nucleotides) under Homo sapiens (human). RNAcentral describes it as "non-protein coding lnc-U2AF2-5:2". The record is from RNAcentral. Lineage: Eukaryota; Metazoa; Chordata; Mammalia; Primates; Hominidae.